RNAcentral lists this ribosomal RNA (396 nucleotides) under uncultured bacterium. RNAcentral's name for it is "bacterial SSU rRNA". It matches the Rfam family "Bacterial small subunit ribosomal RNA", at positions 32 to 408 of the family's 1533-position model. The record is from RNAcentral.
AAUCAACGCUGGCGGCGUGCCUCAGACAUGCAAGUCGAACGCGAAAGUUUCCUUCGGGAAGCAAGUAGAGUGGCGUCCGGGUGAGUAACACGUAGGUAAUCUACCUUUGGGUGGGGAAUAACCCCGAGAAAUCGGGGCUAAUACCGCAUAAUGCAGCGGCACCACAUGGUGACAGUUGUUAAAGCGGGGGAUCGCAAGACCUCGCGCCUAAAGAGGAGCCUGCGGCGGAUUAGCUAGNGGUAGGGUAACGGCCUACCAAGGCAACGAUCCGUAGCCGGCCUGAGAGGGCGGUCGGCCACACUGACACUGAAAUACGGGUCAGACUCCUACGGGNGGCAGCAGUCGGGAAUGUUGGGCAAUGGGCGAAAGCCUGACCCAGCAACGCCGCGUGAAGGA